Long non-coding RNA from Mizuhopecten yessoensis (Yesso scallop), 2002 nucleotides. RefSeq lists it as uncharacterized. The record is from RefSeq and is a predicted model, not a curated record. The transcript is spliced from 2 exons. Lineage: Eukaryota; Metazoa; Mollusca; Bivalvia; Pectinida; Pectinidae.
CUAUACACCCUAGGGUAAAAAGGUAUGUGUCUAUACACCCUAGGGGAAGAAGUAUGUGUCUAUACACCCUAGGGGGAAAAAGGAUGUGUCUAUACACCCUAGGGAAAAAUUAUGUGUCUAUACACCCUAGGGGAAGAAGUAUGUGUCUAUACACCCUAGGGGAAAAGUAUGUGUCUAUACACCCUAGGGGAAAAAGUAUGCGUCUAUACACCCUAGGGGAAAAAGAAUGUGUCUAUACACCCUAGGGGAAAAAGUAUGUGUCUAUAAAAAGACACUUUUAAAUAGCAUCUUUUGAGCUAUUCUUUCAGAUGAAUUCAUCAGAUCUUAGAAUUUAAAAUUUAGGAAUAGUUUAGUAAAUUCACUGGUUGAAAAUGCUCAAUUUUAUAGUCCAAAAUUGGGAGUCUCCCUCAGAAUAUAGAGAAAUUGGCAAGUUUAUAAUUGUUAGUGUUUUUUUAGUAUCUGUACCAUACUGACAUUUUACACACAUGUACAAAUACAUCAUACAUGUUAUACAUGUGUGUGUACUUUCUAAGAGAAGCAUUUGUUUAUAUGACCAAUUAUUCAAUGGUGUGAUCUUGUUAAAGGUGUGUUGUAGCCCUGUUGGGUGACAUAGCAACCUUUGAUUUACAUAUCAGAGCGACAUGAUUAUACAUAUGGUUCAGGGUGACAUAAACUAUGCCUGCUGUUGAUCAUUUAAAAUGUUAAUACUGAAUGUAUUUUGAAUUCCUCUUACUAUCAUGUGUUAAUGGUAGUUACACAUAUUAGAUAUAAAAUCACUUACCCAGGCCCUCUUUGGUAUUUACACAGUGACAUAUUGGAUUUAUCCUCCCAAACAGUUACUUUUUCUUUAAUAUGAAGUUUUCGGAUCAAUUUCUCUGUACGGAUUUCAAGAGAAGCCUAAUGAUUUGAUUAAGUUGAUGUUCAGUAGUUUUAUGUACUUACUGAUGUAUGAGCUUUAAUUAACUAACAGUGCUUGUUAAUUAAUAUCAAUAAUUGUACAUCUAUUCUUUGUCAUUUACCUGUGAAUUAUUGUUAAUUAUACUUAUCCCUUAUUAAUGUAUUUAAUUAUUUGUGAUUGUUCUUGAUUUUCAUGUUUAUCAACUUUUAGUGGUUUAUAGAUAUGCAUUUUAUUAAGUGCUUGUUAAUGUAGCUGUUGAUUUUAACCGGUUCCAAUUUUAUAAAAUGAAUUAGUAUAUUGUAAACAAUACCUUCCUGAUUUUAUGGAAAUUAAUUAUUUUUUAUAGAAUUAUAGAAUAACUGAUUUAUCUAAUUAUGCCAUUAAUUGUACAUAUUUUUGUGUGUAAUGUGUUAUUUUUAAUGUGUCGGACCAGAAUCCAAACAGAUUGUGAGACCAACGCAUUCAAGCCAAAUCGAUGGCUCGGCUAGUCAUGAAAUCAUAGAGAAACCAACGUUAGAUAUACAAACAUGUAUCUCGAUCUCUAUUGUUUUUUAUACUGAACUUUCUAAAAUGAACCCUUCAUAACUUAGAUUUAACAAAAAUAAGAUAAUAUCAGACCUGCCACAAGGUCUGAUGGUUAUUUUUCUAUGGAACCUAGUGUAUUCUCUAAAGUUCUCUAGGUGACGGUGUGCAGAAUUCAUCUCCAGUUAAAUUGUUCCUUGUUCACCCUAGGUUGUUAACAUUCUCCUAUAUGUGUCCCUAUAAACUGAAAUCCUGUAUGUACUUGUCCCAGUGUUUUGGUUUUGACAGGUGAUGGUGUGCAGAACAGACUGUAAAAGUUCUCCUAUAUGUGUCCAUAUUAAAUGUUCCUCGGCCUGUCACUGUCGCCUUAUACAUCCCCAUUUCUGUUAUAUCUAAUGUAACAAGCCCUAUCCAGCCUCGGACCACGCUCCAUGUAACUUAACUAUUGAGCAAGUCUGGGGGUUCUACCACAUCACAGGGAAAUCGUAACUUCACUAGUACAUCUUUCACAAUGUUCUAGAAAGAAUACAUGUACUGAUGUGAAGAGCAUUGACAUUAAGGAAUAAAGUCAUUUUAACUGAU